This 100-nucleotide small RNA is filed under the name Pan troglodytes (chimpanzee). RNAcentral describes it as "processed transcript". The record is from RNAcentral. Lineage: Eukaryota; Metazoa; Chordata; Mammalia; Primates; Hominidae.
GUCACGUGAUUGCCGCCGGGAUUCAACGUGUUCCUCCUGGUUUUCUCCUGCCUCGUGCUGUCUGUGUUUUCCACCAUCAAGGAGUAUGAGAAGAGCUCGG